RNAcentral lists this ribosomal RNA (1393 nucleotides) under metagenome. RNAcentral's name for it is "bacterial SSU rRNA". It matches the Rfam family "Bacterial small subunit ribosomal RNA". The record is from RNAcentral.
GUUUGAUCCUGGCUCAGGAUGAACGCUGGCGGCGUGCUUAACACAUGCAAGUCGAACGAUCCUUCGGGGUAGUGGCGGACGGGUGAGUAACGCGUGGGAAUCUGCCCUCAGGAGGGGGAUAACGGCUGGAAACGGCCGCUAAUACCCCAUAUGCCGAGAGGUGAAAUGAAUUUCGCCUGAGGAUGAGCCCGCGUCUGAUUAGCUAGUUGGUGGGGUAAAGGCCUACCAAGGCAACGAUCAGUAGCUGGUCUGAGAGGAUGAUCAGCCACACUGGGACUGAGACACGGCCCAGACUCCUACGGGAGGCAGCAGUGGGGAAUUUUCCGCAAUGGGCGAAAGCCUGACGGAGCAACGCCGCGUGAGGGAUGAAGGCCUCUGGGCUGUAAACCUCUUUUCUCAAGGAAGAAGACCUGACGGUACUUGAGGAAUAAGCCACGGCUAAUUCCGUGCCAGCAGCCGCGGUAAUACGGGAGUGGCAAGCGUUAUCCGGAAUUAUUGGGCGUAAAGCGUCCGCAGGCGGCCUUGUAAGUCUGUUGUUAAAGCGUGGAGCUCAACUCCAUUUAAGCAAUGGAAACUACAAGGCUGGAGUGUGGUAGGGGCAGAGGGAAUUCCCGGUGUAGCGGUGAAAUGCGUAGAUAUCGGGAAGAACACCAGUGGCGAAGGCGCUCUGCUGGGCCAUAACUGACGCUCAUGGACGAAAGCCAGGGGAGCGAAAGGGAUUAGAUACCCCUGUAGUCCUGGCCGUAAAUGAUGAACACUAGGUGUCGGGGGAAUCGACCCCCUCGGUGUCGUAGCCAACGCGUUAAGUGUUCCGCCUGGGGAGUACGCACGCAAGUGUGAAACUCAAAGGAAUUGACGGGGGCCCGCACAAGCGGUGGAGUAUGUGGUUUAAUUCGAUGCAACGCGAAGAACCUUACCAGGGUUUGACAUCCUGCGAACCCCUGAGAAAUCGGGGGGUGCCUUCGGGAGCGCAGAGACAGGUGGUGCAUGGCUGUCGUCAGCUCGUGUCGUGAGAUGUUGGGUUAAGUCCCGCAACGAGCGCAACCCACGUCUUUAGUUGCCAGCAUUCAGUUGGGCACUCUAGAGAGACCGCCGGUGAUAAACCGGAGGAAGGUGUGGAUGACGUCAAGUCAUCAUGCCCCUUACAUCCUGGGCUACGCACGUACUACAAUGCUACGGACAAAGGGCAGCAAGCUCGCGAGAGUUAGCAAAUCCCAUAAACCGUGGCUCAGUUCAGAUCGUAGGCUGCAACUCGCCUACGUGAAGGAGGAAUCGCUAGUAAUCGCAGGUCAGCAUACUGCGGUGAAUACGUUCCCGGGCCUUGUACACACCGCCCGUCACACCAUGGAAGUUGGCCAUGCCCGAAGUCGUUACUCCAACCCUUGUGGAGGAG